UAGGGAAUAUUGCACAAUGGGCGCAAGCCUGAUGCAGCAACGCCGCGUGCGCGAUGAAGGCCUUCGGGUCGUAAAGCGCUUUUCUGGAGGACGAGGAAGGACGGUACUCCAGGAAUAAGGCUCGGCUAACUACGUGCCAGCAGCCGCGGUAAAACGUAGGAGCCUAGCGUUAUCCGAAUUUACUGGGCGUAAAGCGCAUGUAGGCGGUUGGGUAAGUUGGCUGUGAAAUCUCCCGGCUCAACUGGGAGUAGGCCGGUCAAGACUGCCCGACUGGAGGCUGGUAGAGGGAGGUGGAAUUCCCGGUGUAGUGGUGAAAUGCGUAGAUAUCGGGAGGAACACCAGUGGCGAAAGCGGCCUCCUGGACCAGACCUGACGCUCAGAUGCGAAAGCUAGGGGAGUGAACGGGAUUAGAAACCCCGGUAAUCCUAGCCGUAAACGAUGUCGACUUGGCGUCGGUGGGGUAAAAGCCGAGCGGUGCCGGAGCUAACGCAGUAAGUCGACCGCCUGGGGACUACGG
Molecule: ribosomal RNA, 517 nt
Filed under: uncultured Chloroflexota bacterium
Lineage: Bacteria; Bacillati; Chloroflexota
Description: bacterial SSU rRNA
Rfam family: Bacterial small subunit ribosomal RNA
Source: RNAcentral